Hypoxylon crocopeplum is the source of this 112-nucleotide non-coding RNA. The record is from the annotation of a GenBank genome assembly. NCBI's taxonomy places the organism in Eukaryota, Fungi, Ascomycota, Sordariomycetes, Xylariales, Hypoxylaceae.
GGCUCUGUGGUCUAGUGGUAGGAUUCUUCUUUCGGGUCGCCAAUGUUCAUCCCGCCUCUCUUCAGAGAGACGAGUAUAGAAGAGGUCCCGGGUUCGAAUCCCGGCAGAGCCC